CUUCGGGUCUAGUGGCGCACGGGUGCGUAACGCGUGGGAAUCUGCCCUUAGGUACGGAAUAACUCAGAGAAAUUUGUGCUAAUACCGUAUGAUGUCGAAAGACCAAAGAUUUAUCGCCUAAGGAUGAGCCCGCGUAAGAUUAGCUUGUUGGUGAGGUAAAAGCUCACCAAGGCGACGAUCUUUAGCUGGUCUGAGAGGAUGAUCAGCCACACUGGGACUGAGACACGGCCCAGACUCCUACGGGAGGCAGCAGUGGGGAAUAUUGGACAAUGGGCGAAAGCCUGAUCCAGCAAUGCCGCGUGAGUGAUGAAGGCCUUAGGGUUGUAAAGCUCUUUUACCAGGGAUGAUAAUGACAGUACCUGGAGAAUAAGCUCCGGCUAACUCCGUGCCAGCAGCCGCGGUAAUACGGAGGGAGCUAGCGUUGUUCGGAAUUACUGGGCGUAAAGAGUACGUAGGCGGUUAUUCAAGUCAGAGGUGAAAGCCUGGAGCUCAACUCC
Molecule: ribosomal RNA, 497 nt
Filed under: uncultured Sphingomonadaceae bacterium
Lineage: Bacteria; Pseudomonadati; Pseudomonadota; Alphaproteobacteria; Sphingomonadales; Sphingomonadaceae
Description: bacterial SSU rRNA
Rfam family: Bacterial small subunit ribosomal RNA
Source: RNAcentral